ACUCCUACGGGAGGCAGCAGUGGGGAAUAUUGCACAAUGGGCGAAAGCCUGAUGCAGCAACGCCGCGUGAGUGAUGAAGGCCUUCGGGUCGUAAAGCUCUGUCUUCGGGGACGAUAAUGACGGUACCCGAGGAGGAAGCCACGGCUAACUACGUGCCAGCAGCCGCGGUAAU
Molecule: ribosomal RNA, 172 nt
Filed under: uncultured bacterium
Lineage: Bacteria
Description: partial 16S ribosomal RNA
Rfam family: Bacterial small subunit ribosomal RNA
Source: RNAcentral